RNAcentral lists this ribosomal RNA (231 nucleotides) under uncultured bacterium. RNAcentral's name for it is "partial 16S ribosomal RNA". It matches the Rfam family "Bacterial small subunit ribosomal RNA", at positions 118 to 347 of the family's 1533-position model. The record is from RNAcentral.
UGAGGAACAUGACCUUCGGCGGGGGAUAGCCGGCCCAACGGCCGGGUAAUACCGCGUACGACCACAUGGGGACAUCCCUGAGUGGUGGAAGCAGCAAUGCGCCGAUGGAGUGCCUCGCGGCCUAUCAGCUAGUUGGUGAGGUAACGGCUCACCAAGGCGACGACGGGUAGCUGGUCUGAGAGGAUGGCCAGCCACAGUUGGGACUGAGACACGGCCCAGACUCUACGAGGG